AGUGAACGCUGGCGGCGUGCCUAAUACAUGCAAGUCGAGCGAACGGACAGUAAGCGUUCGUCUCUGCUGUUGGCGAGUGACGGAUGGGUAACACGUGCAUAGCCUACCUAUAUUACUUGGAUAACUUCGUGGAACCGUAUCUGAUAACAGAGAAUAUGUUGAACCGCAUGGAUCAAGAGUUAAAGACGCUCUGCCUGUCACUUUGAGAUGAAUCCGGGCUGCAUUAGCUAGUUGGUAAGGUAACGGCUUACCAAGGCAACGAUGCAUAGCCGACCUGAGAGGGUGAUCGGCCACACUGGAACUGAGACACGGUCCAGACUCCUACGGGAGGCAGCAGUAGGGAAUAUUCCGCAAUGGGCGAAAGCCUGACCGAGCAAUGCCGCGUGAGUGAUGAAGGUCUUCGGAUUGUAAAGCUCUGUUAUUAGGGAAGAAAAGCUGCGUAAGUAACCCCCGAUAUUCUGACGGUACCUAAUGAGAAAGCACCGGCUAACUACGUG
RNAcentral lists this ribosomal RNA (497 nucleotides) under uncultured bacterium. RNAcentral's name for it is "partial 16S ribosomal RNA". It matches the Rfam family "Bacterial small subunit ribosomal RNA", at positions 29 to 507 of the family's 1533-position model. The record is from RNAcentral.